This 402-nucleotide ribosomal RNA is filed under the name uncultured Acetobacteraceae bacterium. RNAcentral describes it as "partial 16S ribosomal RNA". The record is from RNAcentral. Lineage: Bacteria; Pseudomonadati; Pseudomonadota; Alphaproteobacteria; Acetobacterales; Acetobacteraceae.
GGGAACGGUAUUCACCGCGGCAUGGCUGAUCCGCGAUUACUAGUGAUUCCAGCUUCAUGCCGUCGAGUUGCAGACGACAAUCCGAACUGAGGCAAUUUUUACGGGAUUAGCUCCGGCUUGCGCCUUGGCUGCCCUCUGUUACUGCCAUUGUAGCACGUCUCUCGCCCUGGGCGUAAGGGCCAUGAUGACUUGACGUCAUCCCCGCCUUCCUCCGCGUUAUCCGCGGCGGUUUCUCCAGAGUGCCCGGCAUAACCCGAUGGCAACUGAAGACGGGGGUUGCGCUCGUUGCGGGACUUAACCCAACAUCUCACGACACGAGCUGACGACAGCCAUGCAGCACCUGUGCAGAGACCCCGAAGGGAUUUACCGUCUCUGGUACUGUCCUCUGCAUGUCAAGUCUGG